This 724-nucleotide ribosomal RNA is filed under the name uncultured Fusobacterium sp. RNAcentral describes it as "bacterial SSU rRNA". It matches the Rfam family "Bacterial small subunit ribosomal RNA", at positions 28 to 776 of the family's 1533-position model. Lineage: Bacteria; Fusobacteriati; Fusobacteriota; Fusobacteriia; Fusobacteriales; Fusobacteriaceae. The record is from RNAcentral.
GAUGAACGCUGACAGAAUGCUUAACACAUGCAAGUCAACUUGGACUUCGGUUUGGGUGGCGGACGGGUGAGUAACGCGUAAAGAACUUGCCUCACAGAUAGGGACAACAUUUGGAAACGAAUGCUAAUACCUGAUAUUAUGAUUUUAGGGCAUCCUAGAAUUAUGAAAGCUAUAUGCGCUGUGAGAGAGCUUUGCGUCCCAUUAGCUAGUUGGAGAGGUAACGGCUCACCAAGGCGAUGAUGGGUAGCCGGCCUGAGAGGGUGAUCGGCCACAAGGGGACUGAGACACGGCCCUUACUCCUACGGGAGGCAGCAGUGGGGAAUAUUGGACAAUGGACCAAGAGUCUGAUCCAGCAAUUCUGUGUGCACGAUGAAGUUUUUCGGAAUGUAAAGUGCUUUCAGUUGGGAAGAAAAAAAUGACGGUACCAACAGAAGAAGUGACGGCUAAAUACGUGCCAGCAGCCGCGGUAAUACGUAUGUCACAAGCGUUAUCCGGAUUUAUUGGGCGUAAAGCGCGUCUAGGUGGUUAUAUAAGUCUGAUGUGAAAAUGCAGGGCUCAACUCUGUAUUGCGUUGGAAACUGUGUAACUAGAGUACUGGAGAGGUAAGCGGAACUACAAGUGUAGAGGUGAAAUUCGUAGAUAUUUUGUAGGAAUGCCGAUGGGGAAGCCAGCUUACUGGACAGAUACUGACGCUGAAGCGCGAAAGCGUGGGGUAGCAAACAGG